Molecule: ribosomal RNA, 253 nt
Filed under: uncultured bacterium
Lineage: Bacteria
Description: partial 16S ribosomal RNA
Rfam family: Bacterial small subunit ribosomal RNA
Source: RNAcentral
UACGGGGGGAGCAAGCGUUGUUCGGAUUUACUGGGCGUAAAGGGCGCGUAGGCGGCGUGACAAGUCACUUGUGAAAUCUCCGGGCUUAACUCGGAACGGUCAAGUGAUACUGUCGUGCUAGAGUACAGAAGGGGCAACUGGAAUUCUCGGUGUAGCGGUGAAAUGCGUAGAUAUCGAGAGGAACACCUGCGGCGAAGGCGGCGCCCUGGCUCGCAACUGACGCUCAGACACGACAGCAUGGGGAGCGAACGGG